RNAcentral lists this ribosomal RNA (468 nucleotides) under uncultured bacterium. RNAcentral's name for it is "partial 16S ribosomal RNA". It matches the Rfam family "Bacterial small subunit ribosomal RNA", at positions 28 to 507 of the family's 1533-position model. The record is from RNAcentral.
GACGAACGCUGGCGGCGUGCUUAACACAUGCAAGUCGAACGGAAAGGCCCUGCUUUUGUGGGGUGCUCGAGUGGCGAACGGGUGAGUAACACGUGAGUAACCUGCCCUUGACUUUGGGAUAACUUCAGGAAACUGGGGCUAAUACCGGAUAGGAGCUCCUGCUGCAUGGUGGGGGUUGGAACGUUUCGGCGGUUGGGGAUGGACUCGCGGCUUAUCAGCUUGUUGGUGGGGUAGUGGCUUACCAAGGCUUUGACGGGUAGCCGGCCUGAGAGGGUGACCGGCCACAUUGGGACUGAGAUACGGCCCAGACUCCUACGGGAGGCAGCAGUGGGGAAUAUUGCACAAUGGGCGGAAGCCUGAUGCAGCAACGCCGCGUGCGGGAUGACGGCCUUCGGGUUGUAAACCGCUUUCGCCUGUGACGAAGCGUGAGUGACGGUAAUGGGUAAAGAAGCACCUGCUAACUACGUG